Molecule: transfer RNA, 57 nt
Filed under: Strongyloides fuelleborni fuelleborni
Lineage: Eukaryota; Metazoa; Nematoda; Chromadorea; Rhabditida; Strongyloididae
Description: tRNA-Leu
Source: RNAcentral
AUGGGUUUAGUAUAAUAUAAUAUAUUAGGUUUAGGUCCUAGAGAUUGAGUGCCCAUU